This 253-nucleotide ribosomal RNA is filed under the name uncultured prokaryote. RNAcentral describes it as "partial 16S ribosomal RNA". It matches the Rfam family "Bacterial small subunit ribosomal RNA", at positions 524 to 776 of the family's 1533-position model. The record is from RNAcentral.
AACGUAGGUGGCAAACGUUAUCCGGAUUUACUGGGCGUAAAGAGUGCGCAGGCGGCCUUUCAAGUCGGAUGUAAAAUCUCCUGGCUUAACUGGGAGGGACCAUCCGAUACUGUUGGGCUUGAGUACAACAGAGGAGAGUGGAAUUCCCGGUGUAGUGGUGGAAUGCGUAGAUAUCGGGAGGAACACCAGUGGCGAAAGCGGCUCUCUGGGUUGUAACUGACGCUGAUGCACAAAAGCGUGGGUAGCAAACAGG